This 400-nucleotide unclassified non-coding RNA is filed under the name uncultured fungus. RNAcentral describes it as "sequence contains ITS1". The stretch from base 1 to 107 matches the Rfam family "5.8S ribosomal RNA", at positions 50 to 154 of the family's 154-position model. The record is from RNAcentral. Lineage: Eukaryota; Fungi.
UAGCUCCGAUAUGAGACGAGAUCUGCAGGGCAGUUGAGACGUCUUAUUUUCGAACGCAUAUUGCGCCCUGGUGUUCCAAUACCCAGGGCACUUCUGUCUCAGGGUCGUUUGCCUGAAAUAGCCUCGGUGAGACUGGAUGCCCGCUUCGCCUUCGGGUGUCGCGACGCAUACAGAGCGCGGUCGACUUCGGUCCCGUUGUCAAGGCGAGACUACGUGUCUCGUCAUCUCGCUGAGGAUCGCUAUAGACGUGUGCACGCACCGUCGCGAUUGUGCUACGGGGACCCUCGCCGGUCCUUGCUCACUACGCUGAGCUUAGCCGUACGCACUGCAAACUGAGUGUGAGUGACGAGAGCCUCGGCUCCCAUCACGUACCCAUCACACGACCUGAGACAGAGGAGAC